This is a long non-coding RNA of Symphalangus syndactylus (siamang), 626 nucleotides long. RefSeq lists it as uncharacterized. The record is from RefSeq and is a predicted model, not a curated record. NCBI's taxonomy places the organism in Eukaryota, Metazoa, Chordata, Mammalia, Primates, Hylobatidae.
CCACAGAGAAGAGACAUUAUCUUUAGGUUUACAGCAUGGCAAGUGUUGGAGUACAGCCUAAAAACAUAGGCUUCAUUGAAAGGAGGAAAAGCUUUUGAGAAUCAAAGUAAAAACUCUGAAAGAGGCUGCACAUAACAACAGAUUUGAAAGACAGUGGAAGACAUAGACUGCCCUAAGUAAGCGUAACCUGGACUGGAAGAGACGGGAAGAAGGUUGGCUUACAUUUUGUGCAGAGGUAUUUGGGAGAAUGCUCUCAAGGGAUACAGCUUUGGUAAAGCAAGGAAGACAAGAUGGGGCAAAGGGUGAAGCUGACCUACAUUGCUGCUGCACCUGAACUUCAUUCAGCCUUACAGGGCACUUUGGACCAGGCACGACACUUCAGAGUUAUCUCAAACUGAGGCAUGGGGCUGGGACUUUGUGUCCCGCCUCAAUCAGUCAUUGGCCAUAGAAUUCCUCCUAGAGCAGGUACAAUUUUAGAUGAGGCAGUUCCCUGAGGCUGAGGGCAAUUUCAAUGAAGAGUGUAACUAUAAACCACUGGAUGCCAGUAUUUCCAGCACCGUAGAAUAAACAUGCCAGUCCUGAUGAGAAAAGUCAGUAACAAAUCUCAGUAUACAUUUCAAACUUCC